This 70-nucleotide long non-coding RNA is filed under the name Peromyscus maniculatus bairdii (prairie deer mouse). Its description in RNAcentral is "FTX transcript, XIST regulator conserved region 1 (ENSPEMG00000006225.2)". It matches the Rfam family "FTX transcript, XIST regulator conserved region 1". The record is from RNAcentral. Lineage: Eukaryota; Metazoa; Chordata; Mammalia; Rodentia; Cricetidae.
AGUGACAUACCUGUUCCUUUGUCCAUGUCUCCGUCUGAGAUAUUUACGGAUGCAUUACUUCUCAGAAUCC